RNAcentral lists this ribosomal RNA (491 nucleotides) under uncultured bacterium. RNAcentral's name for it is "partial 16S ribosomal RNA". It matches the Rfam family "Bacterial small subunit ribosomal RNA", at positions 29 to 506 of the family's 1533-position model. The record is from RNAcentral.
AGUGAACGCUGGCGGUAGGCCUAACACAUGCAAGUCGAACGGCAGCACAGUAAGAGCUUGCUCUUACGGGUGGCGAGUGGCGGACGGGUGAGGAAUACAUCGGAAUCUACUUUUUCGUGGGGGAUAACGUAGGGAAACUUACGCUAAUACCGCAUACGACCUACGGGUGAAAGCAGGGGAUCUUCGGACCUUGCGCGACUGAAUGAGCCGAUGUCGGAUUAGCUAGUUGGCGGGGUAAAGGCCCACCAAGGCGACGAUCCGUAGCUGGUCUGAGAGGAUGAUCAGCCACACUGGAGCUGAGACACGGUCCAGACUCCUACGGGAGGCAGCAGUGGGGAAUAUUGGACAAUGGGCGCAAGCCUGAUCCAGCCAUACCGCGUGGGUGAAGAAGGCCUUCGGGUUGUAAAGCCCUUUUGUUGGGAAAGAAAAGCAGCAGGUUAAUACCCCGCUGUUCUGACGGGACCCAAAGAAUAAGCACCGGCUAACUUCGU